GAUGAAGAACGUAGCAAAAUGCGAUACUUGGUGUGAAUUGCAGAAUCCCGUGAACCAUCGAGUUUUUGAACGCAAGUUGCGCCCGAAGCCUUUUGGCCGAGGGCACGUCUGCCUGGGCGUCACGCAUCGCGUCGCCCCCCACAAUUCUCCGUAAAGGGAACAUGUGUUUUGGGGGCGGAUAUUGGUCUCCCGUGCUCAUGGCGUGGUUGGCCGAAAUAGGAGUCCUUUCGAUGGACGCACGAACUAGUGGUGGUCGUAAAAACCCUCGUCUUUUGUUUCGUGCUGUUGGUCGCAAGGUAAACUCUUUAAAAACCCCAAUGUGUCGUCUCUUGACGACGCUUCGACCGCGACCCCAGGUCAGGCGGGACUACCCGCUGAGUUUAAGCAUAUCAAUAAGCGGAGG
This 403-nucleotide unclassified non-coding RNA is filed under the name soil metagenome. RNAcentral's name for it is "partial contains 5.8S ribosomal RNA, internal transcribed spacer 2, and large subunit ribosomal RNA". The stretch from base 1 to 122 matches the Rfam family "5.8S ribosomal RNA", at positions 35 to 154 of the family's 154-position model. The record is from RNAcentral.